Molecule: small nucleolar RNA, 76 nt
Filed under: Balaenoptera musculus (blue whale)
Lineage: Eukaryota; Metazoa; Chordata; Mammalia; Artiodactyla; Balaenopteridae
Description: Small nucleolar RNA U3 (ENSBMSG00010019513.1)
Rfam family: Small nucleolar RNA U3
About the family: Small nucleolar RNAs (snoRNAs) are involved in the processing and modification of rRNA in the nucleolus. There are two main classes of snoRNAs: the box C/D class, and the box H/ACA class.
Source: RNAcentral
AAGACUAUACUUUCAGGGAUCAUUUCUAUAGUUCGUUACUAGAGAAGUUUCUCUGAAUGCGUAGAGCACCUUAAGG